This 338-nucleotide unclassified non-coding RNA is filed under the name soil metagenome. RNAcentral describes it as "partial contains 5.8S ribosomal RNA, internal transcribed spacer 2, and large subunit ribosomal RNA". The stretch from base 1 to 120 matches the Rfam family "5.8S ribosomal RNA", at positions 35 to 154 of the family's 154-position model. The record is from RNAcentral.
GAUGAAGAACGUAGCGAAAUGCGAUACGUAGUGUGAAUUGCAGAAUUCAGUGAAUCAUCGAAUCUUUGAACGCACAUUGCGCCCUUUGGUAUUCCAAAGGGCAUGCCUGUUCGAGCGUCAUUUGUACCCUCAAGCUUUGCUUGGUGUUGGGCGUCUUGUCUCCAGUCCGCUGGAGACUCGCCUUAAAGUCAUUGGCAGCCGGCCUACUGGUUUCGGAGCGCAGCACAAGUCGCACUCUUUUCCAGCCAAGGUCAGUGUCCAACAAGCCUUUUUUCAUCUUUUGACCUCGGAUCAGGUAGGGAUACCCGCUGAACUUAAGCAUAUCAAUAAGCGGAGGA